This 341-nucleotide long non-coding RNA is filed under the name Pan troglodytes (chimpanzee). RNAcentral's name for it is "long non-coding RNA NONPTRT012790". Lineage: Eukaryota; Metazoa; Chordata; Mammalia; Primates; Hominidae. The record is from RNAcentral.
UACAAGUAAGAACAGUCCCUGAUGUAUAGUUGUUCUCGAUAAAUGUUUGGGAAUAAGUUAUUUUCUCAAGUGGACAAUAACCUCCUUUAACAUACAAAUUAUGCAUCUCUGGGAGAGACUUACCAAAACCUAAGGUUACCAAAGUUUCCCCGUAGGUAUAUGUCUUUGACUAAUAUUUUUUACUCUAAUUCAGCACCACAGGGUAUGAUCAAUAUUUCCUCCAUUGUUUGAGUAUUUGUAACUUCUUUCUCUUGCAGUGAGAAAACUGGUUCCCGUUAUUGAUAAUUUAUGUAGUUAUUUGUUCAACCCUAGUAUAGGUAUAAAGGGCUUCAAGAAUGAGU